GAUGAACGCUGGCGGCGUGCCUAAUACAUGCAAGUCGAGCGAACGGACGAGAAGCUUGCUCUUCUGAUGUUAGCGGCGGACGGGUGAGUAACACGUGGAUAACCUACCUAUAAGACUGGGAUAACUUCGGGAAACCGGAGCUAAUACCGGAUAAUAUUUUGAACCGCAUGGUUCAAUAGUGAAAGACGGUUUUGCUGUCACUUAUAGAUGGAUCCGCGCUGCAUUAGCUAGUUGGUAAGGUAACGGCUUACCAAGGCAACGAUGCAUAGCCGACCUGAGAGGGUGAUCGGCCACACUGGAACUGAGACACGGUCCAGACUCCUACGGGAGGCAGCAGUAGGGAAUCUUCCGCAAUGGGCGAAAGCCUGACGGAGCAACGCCGCGUGAGUGAUGAAGGUCUUCGGAUCGUAAAACUCUGUUAUUAGGGAAGAACAUAUGUGUAAGUAACUGUGCACAUCUUGACGGUACCUAAUCAGAAAGCCACGGCUAACUACGUG
Molecule: ribosomal RNA, 497 nt
Filed under: uncultured bacterium
Lineage: Bacteria
Description: partial 16S ribosomal RNA
Rfam family: Bacterial small subunit ribosomal RNA
Source: RNAcentral